UCGUCUAGGAGAGACCUAGGAGACAAAUUCAAGGGGUUUUGGAGGUGGAUACACAACAAUAGUUGAGGAAUCAUCAUUGUAAUGUUUGUUCAUCUCUUUUCUUCUUAAUCUUUUGUAAAGUUCUCAUGAAUAUGGGUAACUAAUUUCUCUUGUUGUUGGGAUUGAAUGUAAAUUACUCUAUUAGUAUGUGUUUAUCUUGAUCAUGGUGUUAUAUAUAUUCUAGUUACAAAUCAAUAUUGAUGUUA
RNAcentral lists this long non-coding RNA (245 nucleotides) under Trifolium pratense (red clover). RNAcentral describes it as "long non-coding RNA (TPRA_LNC007319)". The record is from RNAcentral. Lineage: Eukaryota; Viridiplantae; Streptophyta; Magnoliopsida; Fabales; Fabaceae.